RNAcentral lists this ribosomal RNA (510 nucleotides) under uncultured Glomus. Its description in RNAcentral is "SSU rRNA". It matches the Rfam family "Eukaryotic small subunit ribosomal RNA", at positions 569 to 1081 of the family's 1831-position model. The record is from RNAcentral. Lineage: Eukaryota; Fungi; Glomeromycota; Glomeromycetes; Glomerales; Glomeraceae.
AGCAGCCGCGGUAAUUCCAGCUCCAAUAGCGUAUAUUAAAGUUGUUGCAGCUAAAAAGCUCGUAGUUGAAUUUCGGGAUCAAUAUAUCGGUCGUGUCCCUGUACGUACUGGUAUCAUUGAUUUCUCCUUUCUGACGAACAAUGAUGUCAUUAAUUUGGUGUUAUAGGGAGUUAGGACUGUUACUUUGAAAAAAUUAGAGUGUUUAAAGCAGGCAUUAGCUUGAAUACAUUAGCAUGGAAUAAUGAAAUAGGACGUUUGACCUUAUUUUGUUGGUUUCUAGGAUCGACGUAAUGAUUAAUAGGGAUAGUUGGGGCAUUAGUAUUCAAUUGUCAGAGGUGAAAUUCUUGGAUUUAUUGAAGACUAACUACUGCGAAAGCAUUUGCCAAGGAUGUUUUCAUUAAUCAAGAACGAAAGUUAGGGGAUCGAAGACGAUCAGAUACCGUCGUAGUCUUAACCAUAAACUAUGCCGACUAGGGAUUGGAUGAUGUUAAUUUUAUUAAUGACUUAUUC